This is an RNA transcript of Dreissena polymorpha, 2573 nucleotides long. It is a transcript of the gene named 14-3-3 protein epsilon-like, with no coding region annotated. The transcript has 6 exons. The record is from RefSeq and is a predicted model, not a curated record. Lineage: Eukaryota; Metazoa; Mollusca; Bivalvia; Myida; Dreissenidae.
UAAUAUCUUCGAUUAUUCAUGUAAGAACUACUUUCAGUUGGCGGUUGUAGCCAUUUUCGGCCAUUUCAGUGUAUAAUAUAACAUUUUGUAUCCAUUUCAAUCACUGGUUCAGGAAAAACAUCCACCAUGGCCGAUAGGGAGGAUAAUGUUUACCAAGCAAAACUGGCCGAGCAGGCAGAACGAUACGAUGACAUGGUGAAGGCUAUGACAAAAGUUGCUCAGAUGGGUAAUGAUUUGUCAGUGGAAGAGAGAAACCUGUUGUCAGUGGCAUACAAGAACGUGAUAGGAGCUCGUAGGGCGUCUUGGCGGAUAUUGAGUGCCUCUGAACAGAGAGUGCAGGAGAAGGGUGCUGCAAGCAAUGAGCUGGACAUGAUCGUGAAGUACAGACGUCAGAUUGAAAAGGAAUUGAAUGAUACAUGCCACGAUGUCCUUGAUUUGCUUGACAAGCACCUUAUUGGUUCUUCCACUGGAGAGUCUAAAGUGUUCUUCUGUAAAAUGAAGGGCGAUUACUACAGAUACUUGGCCGAGUUUUAUAUUGGAGAUGAACGAAAGAAGUUUGCAGAAAAUGCCCUGGUUGCAUACAAAGCUGCCAGUGACGUUGCUAUGAGCGACCUUGCACCCACCCAUCCCAUCAGAUUGGGUCUGGCCCUCAACUUCUCUGUUUUCUACUAUGAGAUCCUAAACUCACCUGACAGGGCAUGUAGACUCGCAAAAUCUGCAUUUGAUGAUGCCAUUGCAGAGUUAGACAACCUAAAUGAAGACAAUUACAAGGAUUCAACACUUAUCAUGCAGCUCUUGAGGGACAACCUGACACUCUGGACAUCUGACAUGGCACAAGAUGGUGAUGCAGAACAACCUAAAGAACAAGUGGAAGACAUAGAAGCAGAAGAUCAGUCAUAAAGGAUGUAGUGUUGCUGUGCAGUGUCAGUGACUAGUGAACACAGAUUCUGGCAGUGUUGUUGCAUAUACAAAUAAUAUUUUUAAUUUUCAAACAACUAGUGGCAGUUAAGCUAACAUUCCAAAUACCAAAGUGUUUGGUCCUUGGGCAUGUAACUUGUGUUUUCAUUCUUAGUUUGUUCCACAUUUGAAGGGUUAAGGUUUGUAUAACAAGAAUCACAAAGUUAGCAGAAACGUCAUUAUUCUUGUUAGCAGUGAUCUAAUUAAUAGUAUUAAAUAUGUGCCAGUCUUGUAUUGUGGAACAAUGUAUUUAUUUGUUAAGUAUUGUAUUUGUAAUUGCAUUCAUGUAAAACUGGCAGACACUUAAAUAAACAUGGUUAUAUUUAGUAAAAGGAAACAGCUGAUAAUAUUACUAACAUUUAAUAUUUUUGGGGACGUAUUUUUAGCAUAUUUAAGCAGGAAGUGCACAUACUAAACUUUUUUGGUCACCAUUUGUCUAGGGUCAUGUGUUGUCCACGUUUUGCCUGUUAUAGCACUAUAGGCCACUUUUUAUGCCCCCUUUCGAAGAAAAGGGGGCAUAUAGUGAUCGGACUGUCCAUCUGUCUGUCUGUCCAUCUUUCCGUCACACUUUGCGUUUAGGUUUCGAAAAAUGCUCAUAACUUCUAUGUCCCUUGAGAUAUAACCUUCAUAUUUGGUAUGCAUGUGUAUAUGGACAAGGCCUUUCCAUAUGCACACACAAUUUUACCCCUUUGACCUUGAACUUAGGGUCCGCAUUUAGGUUUCGAAAUCUGCGUUUAGGUUUAUAAAAAAGCUAAUAACUUCUAUCAAGCGUUUAUAGGGGGCAUAAGUCAUCCUAUGGUGACAGCUCUUGUUUUGGGAUGUAACUAAAAAGUGCUGGACGGAAAAACCGGGCUCUUGCUCAGAGUGAUCAUCUUAACUAUUUAUAGACCCAAGUUCAAAUCUGGGUCCUGUGCGUGCAGAAUCAUGCCACUAGGUCAAAUAUUGAAAAAAACAAACAUGUUUUCACUAGCAGGGGAGACCUCAUAUCUGGCUUACUUGUCAAAAGCUUUUUAUGGCUUUAUUCCUUGUCAAAUAUGAUGUAAAACCAUCUCAGUGAUUUGAAAUGUAAAAUGCGAUUUAUAAUUUGUAAGGCACUAAUUUGUAGUGUUCUCAAGCUAAAAAAACAACAAAAUUUCCAGACGGUGAAAAUGGUGCAUUUUUUCCCAAUCGAAAAGAGCCUGGGUCUCAUUUCAAAUUAAAAAAAUAACUGCUUGGCAGAGUGUGACUCAAGGUAAUGUUUACAAAAACAAAGUCACUGGGUCAGAUUAUGACUAAAAUGUAUCACCAACUCAGGUUUGUGUUUAAAGGCUAUCAUCAGGGCUUUCUUCUUGGUAAAAAUGAAUCGUUUUAAUAGUUUUGAAAUAAUGAUGUUAGGUUUUUCUUCAAAGUCUUUUGUUGAACAAUGCUGAAACAAAGAGGCGUUCAAUAAACCUAAAUGCACUGAAAUACUGGGCUGUAUAUUUUUAUACAUUCUAAUAUUGGAGUUUUCUGCAGUGUGGCUUGUGGUCAACAUCAAAUAUAAUUACUAUUUAAGACAGAAUCUCAGUACCUGUAUUGUGUAGAUUUACAUUGGCAAUAUUUAAUAGUAUUCAUAUAUUAAUACAAGAUUAACAACA